This 505-nucleotide ribosomal RNA is filed under the name uncultured bacterium. RNAcentral describes it as "partial 16S ribosomal RNA". It matches the Rfam family "Bacterial small subunit ribosomal RNA", at positions 28 to 507 of the family's 1533-position model. The record is from RNAcentral.
GACGAACGCUGGCGGCGUGCCUAAUACAUGCAAGUAGAACGCACAGUUUAUACCGUAGCUUGCUACACCAUAGACUGUGAGUUGCGAACGGGUGAGUAACGCGUAGGUAACCUGCCUGGUAGCGGGGGAUAACUAUUGGAAACGAUAGCUAAUACCGCAUAAUAUUGAUUAUUGCAUGAUAAUUGAUUGAAAGAUGCUAUUGCAUCACUACCAGAUGGACCUGCGUUGUAUUAGCUAGUAGGUGAGGUAACGGCUCACCUAGGCGACGAUACAUAGCCGACCUGAGAGGGUGAGCGGCCACACUGGGACUGAGACACGGCCCAGACGCCUACGGGAGGCAGCAGUAGGGAAUCUUCGGCAAUGGACGAAAGUCUGACCGAGCAACGCCGCGGGAGUGAAGAAGGUUGUCGGAUCGUAAAGCUCGGUUGUAAGAGAAGAACGGGUGUGAGAGUGGAAAGUUCACACUGUGACGGUAUCUUACCAGAAAGGGACGGCUAACUACGUG